UUACCCACUCCCGGCACGGGGAGGUAGUGACAAAAAAUAACGAUACGGGACUCUAUUGAGGCCCCGUAAUCGGAAUGAGUACACUUUAAAUCCUUUAACAAGGAUCUAUUGGAGGGCAAGUCUGGUGCCAGCAGCCGCGGUAAUUCCAGCUCCAAUAGCGUAUAUUAAAGUUGUUGCGGUUAAAAAGCUCGUAGUUGGUUCUGCGUGCCGCGCUGUCGGUUCGCCGCCUGUCGGUGUAACUGGCAUGUCGCGGCAUGUCCUGUCGGUGGUGAACGAGAAUCCUGGUACUGCUUAGGCCUAACGGCCAAAGUUUGUACCGUGGUGUUUUCGUUUGCCGAUUUCUCCUACUCCGGUGCUCUUAAACGAGUGUCGAGGUAGGCCGACACGUUCACUUUGAACAAAUUAGAGUGCUUAAAGCAGGCUAAAAUCUCUGCCUGAAUAGUGGUGCAUGGAAUGAUAAAAUAGGACCUCGGUUCUAUUUUAUUGGUUUUAGGAAUAUGAGGUAAUGAUCAAUAUGGACAGUCGGGGGCAUUCGUAUUGCGACGUUAGAGGUGAAAUUCUUGGAUCGUCGCAAGACGCACUAAAGCGAAAGCAUUUGCCAAGUAUGUCUUAAUUGAUCAAGAACGAAAGUUAGAGGUUCGAAGGCGAUCAGAUACCGCCCUAGUUCUAACCAUAAACGAUGCCAGCCAGCGAUCCGCCGAUGUUCCUUUAAUGACUCGGCGGGGAGCUUCCACCCGGGAAACCAAAGCUUUUGGGUUCCGGGGGAAGUAUGGUUGCAAAGCUGAAACUUAAAGGAAUUGACGGAAGGGCACCACCAGGAGUGGAGCCUGCGGCUUAAUUUGACUCAACACGGGAAACCUCACCAGGCCAGGACAUUGUAAUGAUUGACAGAUUGAUAGCUCUUUCUU
RNAcentral lists this ribosomal RNA (908 nucleotides) under Tribelocodia sp. MF-2017. RNAcentral describes it as "SSU rRNA". It matches the Rfam family "Eukaryotic small subunit ribosomal RNA", at positions 441 to 1263 of the family's 1831-position model. The record is from RNAcentral. Lineage: Eukaryota; Metazoa; Arthropoda; Insecta; Hemiptera; Reduviidae.